Mizuhopecten yessoensis (Yesso scallop) is the source of this 218-nucleotide long non-coding RNA. RefSeq lists it as uncharacterized. The record is from RefSeq and is a predicted model, not a curated record. The transcript has 3 exons. Lineage: Eukaryota; Metazoa; Mollusca; Bivalvia; Pectinida; Pectinidae.
AGGUUUCCAUAUGGAGUCCGCCUGUGACUAUAAGUAUAACGACACAAUAUACCCUAUCGGCUACCGGACACAUUCUCACAAUCUUGGUGUUGUAACAUCCGGAUACCGUAUACGCGAUGGAGUGUGGACCGAGAUUGGACGCAUGUCACCACAACUUCCGCAGACUUUCUACAAUGUCACAAACCCUGGUAUAGAUGUGCGAUUUGGAGAUAUCCUGG